GUACACCUCUGGCCAGAGUAAAACUAUUCGAAUAGCCGUGCCCGCGGUUAUGGGCGAGUUGAGCAAUGUUUUUCGUGAUUAGUCUCAGACCUCUCACAAUAAUUAUGGAUGUUGUACCUGGUAAUAAUUUGUUUAAUUUGUUUAGCUCCUGGUUUGGAGAUUAGAUCUGUACAGCCGGGUAUGGUUGUUCAGGAUGGUUGGGCCUGUGCAGCAUGGGUAU
RNAcentral lists this unclassified non-coding RNA (220 nucleotides) under Oryza sativa (Asian cultivated rice). RNAcentral's name for it is "partial microRNA MIR470e-3 precursor". The record is from RNAcentral. Lineage: Eukaryota; Viridiplantae; Streptophyta; Magnoliopsida; Poales; Poaceae.